Molecule: ribosomal RNA, 490 nt
Filed under: uncultured bacterium
Lineage: Bacteria
Description: partial 16S ribosomal RNA
Rfam family: Bacterial small subunit ribosomal RNA
Source: RNAcentral
AGUGAACGCUGGCGGUAGGCCUAACACAUGCAAGUCGAACGGCAGCACAGGAGAGCUUGCUCUCUGGGUGGCGAGUGGCGGACGGGUGAGGAAUACAUCGGAAUCUACCUUUUCGUGGGGGAUAACGUAGGGAAACUUACGCUAAUACCGCAUACGACCUACGGGUGAAAGUGGGGGACCGCAAGGCCUCACGCGAUUAGAUGAGCCGAUGUCCGAUUAGCUAGUUGGCGGGGUAAUGGCCCACCAAGGCGACGAUCGGUAGCUGGUCUGAGAGGAUGAUCAGCCACACUGGAACUGAGACACGGUCCAGACUCCUACGGGAGGCAGCAGUGGGGAAUAUUGGACAAUGGGCGCAAGCCUGAUCCAGCCAUACCGCGUGGGUGAAGAAGGCCUUCGGGUUGUAAAGCCCUUUUGUUGGGAAAGAAAUCCUGUCGAUUAAUACUCGGUGGGGAUGACGGUACCCAAAGAAUAAGCACCGGCUAACUUCAUG